UUUUAGCCCUGAUAGCAGUGAAAAUCCUUUCUAGUCCUGAACUUUUUCAGGACUAGAAAGAUUGUAACGAAUAGCAGGAAAUAGC
Molecule: small RNA, 85 nt
Filed under: Flavobacterium urumqiense
Lineage: Bacteria; Pseudomonadati; Bacteroidota; Flavobacteriia; Flavobacteriales; Flavobacteriaceae
Description: Flavo-1 RNA
Rfam family: Flavo-1 RNA
Source: RNAcentral